AAUAUUCCGCAAUGGGGGAAAGCGUGACGGAACAAUAAGCAGGAGGUAGAGGGCCUAAAGGUCAUGAACUUAUUUUCCCGGGGAAGAAGCAAUGCCGCUAUAUGAGGAAUAAGCAUCGGCUAACUAGUACCAGCAGCCGCGGGAAGACAGAGGAUGCAAGCGUUAUCUGGAAGUAUCGGGGGGAAAGCGUGUGUAGGGGCUUUUUAAGUCCGCAGUCAAAUCCCAGGGCUCAACACUGGACAGGAGGUGGGACGUACCAAGGUGGAUUACAGUAGGGGCAGAGGGAAUUUCCGGUGGAGCGGUGAAAUGAGUAGAGAUGGGAAAGAACACCAGCGGGGAAACCACUGUGCUGGGCCGACACUGGCAGUGAGAGACGAAAGCUAGGGGAGCGAAAGGGAUUAGAUACCCCAGUAGUCCUAGCGGUA
This 425-nucleotide ribosomal RNA is filed under the name uncultured marine bacterium. Its description in RNAcentral is "bacterial SSU rRNA". It matches the Rfam family "Bacterial small subunit ribosomal RNA", at positions 360 to 804 of the family's 1533-position model. The record is from RNAcentral.